AACCGUAGUAAUUCUAGGGCUAAUACGUGCGAAGCGCCCGAAGCCGCGAGGCGACGGGCGUUCUCGCCGGAUGUAGGAACCGACCCGGGGACCGCCGGGGCAACCCGGCGCCCCCGAGACGGGGCGAACCACGGUGAAAUGACGGAUCGUCGGCCCCGCGCCGGCGACUCGCCGAAUGAGUUUCUGACCUAUCAACUCGAGACGGCGGGGUAGAGGCCCGCCGCGGUAACGACGGGUAACGGGGAAUCAGGGUUCGAUUCCGGAGAGGGAGCCCGAGAAACGGCUACCACUUCCAAGGAAGGCAGCAGGCGCGCAACUUACCCUAAUCUCGAUUCGAGGAGGUAGUGACAAGAAAUACCGAUGCGGGACCCUACGGGUGCCGCGUUCGGAAUGAGUACGAUUCGAACCACCUAAACGGAGGGAAACGUAUCCGGAGGGGCAAGUCUGGUGCCCAGCAGCCGCGGUAAUUCCAGCUCCAAUAGCGUACGUUAAAGUUGCUGCAGUUAAAAAGCUCGUAGUUGAACGUUCGGUU
This 532-nucleotide ribosomal RNA is filed under the name uncultured eukaryote. RNAcentral's name for it is "bacterial SSU rRNA". It matches the Rfam family "Eukaryotic small subunit ribosomal RNA", at positions 145 to 647 of the family's 1831-position model. The record is from RNAcentral.